This 914-nucleotide ribosomal RNA is filed under the name Bacillus toyonensis. RNAcentral's name for it is "partial 16S ribosomal RNA". The stretch from base 334 to 914 matches the Rfam family "Bacterial small subunit ribosomal RNA", at positions 875 to 1475 of the family's 1533-position model. The record is from RNAcentral. Lineage: Bacteria; Bacillati; Bacillota; Bacilli; Caryophanales; Bacillaceae.
UGACUGCUCCGGGAAGUCAGCCCCUCCCAUCAACCCCCGCGUCCCCUUGCGUUUCUGACCACGCUGGCCUCCAUUGACCCGUGAGCCAUUGCUUCAGCUCCAGACUGUGCAACUAAAUAAUAUUCGAUCACUCUGUAUUUUUUUGUCGAUUUGCAACUCCCGGUGGCGUUUUUACCGUUCUCCUUCUCUUUCCUGAUGCGCUUUCGCGUUGUAAUGCUAGACUCGGCAUAUGGGAGGCUUCACUACCUUUUCCGCCCCCUCACCCCCUUUCCCCUGGAAAUGUAGAUGUCCUUCUUGAUUCCAAUUUCCCUCGUUCCUAUGACCCCCCCCCCCGCUAAGUGCGGUGGCGUGGCCUUUUUCCAAUAUAAUAACGGGCGCGCGCCCCCGUCCCCUAAUCCGUAUUAAUCCAGUUUCCAACGUAACACUAACACUUUGGUCCGUCUUAGCCCUCGCCCUCCGGUGAAUUUCGUUUUAGGUGCAAAGUACCCAAUUUGCCAGGUUUUGUUCCGUCCCACAGUUCAUGAUUCGCAAGUCCCCCCCUACCGCACCCCCUGAUUUUCGGUGGUACGUCCUUUUUGGAACUUCACUGCGGCGCCGGCGGCCGGCGGGGGGGAGGUGGUGCUGUCGUCCAAUGGCCGAUGACCUUCCGAGGUUGGUACGCACGGUCGCCCAAGGAAGGUGUAAAGAGCUGCAAGAGCGAGAGGGGGGGGUGAACUUAUAAAACCGGUUUCAGUUGGAUUGUAGGCUGCAACUCGCCUACAUGAAGGGGGAAUUGCUAGUAAUCGGGGAUCAGCAUGGCGCGGGGAAUACGUUUCCGGGCCUUGUACACACCGCCCGUCACACCACGAGAGUUUGUAACACCCGAAGUCGGUGGGGUAACCUUUUGGAGCCAGCCGCCUAAGGUGACAGAUUAU